This 977-nucleotide unclassified non-coding RNA is filed under the name Hevea brasiliensis (rubber tree). Lineage: Eukaryota; Viridiplantae; Streptophyta; Magnoliopsida; Malpighiales; Euphorbiaceae. The record is from RNAcentral.
UUAUAGUCGAAUUUCCCUGCAUUUAAUUUUACUGGAGCAAAUACAUAUGAUCGAACCCCAAUCAAAGUGGUAUUGUUAUUACACUAUUAGAUUAAAAAUUGUAUACCAGCAGCAGCAGCAGCUGGACAAACGUCCAGGUAAUAACAAUAAAAACAAAGGCCUUUUCUUUCACCUCAUUACCAAGAUCUAAGAUCCAUUCAACAUUCUGUGGUUGUAAAAUUCUUACAUAUCCGGCAAAACUCAUAAAACAAAACAAGUGAAAUUCUUCAGCAGGACAUCUGUGAUAUGUUAUUGUCUAUAUUGUUGUGUAGCACCAGAAGUUACAUAACAAACACCAGCUCUUCAACCUUCGGUUUAGCUAUACAGAUCAUCAUCAUCUCCAGCAGCGGUUGCUGAUGCAAAUGGAUCUGAAGCCCCUCCAGCUGCAGCAUUCUCAGUACGAUCUGAAAACCUAAAUUCAGUCCCAAAUCCACGAGAUUGCUGUAGGGUCUGCGCAAAGAGCUGAUACUUCCUGAUGUCUGCAUCGCUAACACUACGGCGGGCAAACUUCAUUGAUUCCUCAAAAUGAGCAGCCUUUAUCUCAGGGACAUCAUCAACAUCAUCUUCUUCCAUGGCCUCAGGGUUCUCUUGCUUUCUUUUCUCCCUCUCAAUAUCCUGUCAUUCCUCAAACCGUUAAAUGAAAAUACCACAGACCACAUAAGCAGAUUAUUAUCAGACCCAAUGGCAGAACUACCCGAUGAAAAUAUUUCACAAGAAAUAAAAAGCAAAGUUCAGGCUUAAUGAAGGCAAAGAAACUUGAGAAAAAAAACACUACUGAACUUAUUUAUUAAUAUACUGAAUCACACAGAAACAAACAGAUGCAUACAUGUGUUCAUCAAUCAAUGAGUUCACAGGAAUUGAACUUCAGCAUCUGCAACAAAAACAAGCUACUUCCAAGGAAAGUCUAUUACCUUCUCAAUAUUUUCUCUAAUAGCAUA